AUGGAAGAUGUAAAUGCAGCAUUGAGAGCAAUCCCUACCACAACAAUCACAGAAACCAAUGAGCUGAUAUACGCUUCAGCAUCAGUGAUCCUAGAGGUGCUUGGCCAUAAGAGCAACCAUGGGAGCCAUGAGAAACAAUACCCACCAUGGAAACGAAGGUUGGAGGCAAAAAUCAAGGCAGCUCGGAGGGAAGUGAGCCAAAUGACAGAGGCCCAGAGAGGUGCAAUGAAAAGACCGAUGCCCAAGGGGUGCAGUCAGAUGCCCAUACCUGAAGCACUUGAAACUGCCAAGCAAAGGCUACAAGCCUUGGCCAGCCGCCUAAAGAGAUACACCAGAGAUAACGAAGCCAGACGAAUAAACCGGCUGUUCGCAACACAACCUGUGAAAGUGUACUCUCAAUGGCAGGGUAAUAACAGCAGAGCAGACCCACCAAGGCUGGAAACUGAACAGUACUGGAAAGGUAUAUGGGAAAGGGAGGCGUCACACAACAGCGAUGCACAGUGGCUGGUGGAUCUGAGGGAAGACCACAGCAACCUCCCUGAACAGAAUCCAGUGACUAUCACAGUGGCAGACAUCCAACAAAGAGUCUCAGGUAUGAAAAACCGGACAGCACCUGGCCCUGACAUGAUCCACGCCUACUGGCUAAAGAAGCUCACUGCAAUCCAUGAGCACCUGGCAGCACAAAUGAACCAGCUGCUAAGGGAUGGGACUCACCCUGAAUGGCUAACCGAAGGGCGAACGAUCCUGAUAAUGAAGGAUCCCUCAAAGGGUGCAGUCCCAUCCAACUACCGGCCAAUAACCUGCCUCUCCACAACAUGGAAGCUCAUGUCAGGCAUCAUCGCAGCUAAGAUAAGUGGGCACAUGGGUCAAUACAUGAGCGAAGCACAGAAGGGCAUUAGUAAGGAUACCAGAGGAGCCAAACACCAACUCCUGGUAGACAGAACAGUUGCCCAAGACUGCAGAGUGCGACACACCAACCUGUGCACAGCCUGGAUCGACUACAAGAAAGCCUAUGACUCAAAUAAUAAACAAGACUGGCUAUGGAUACCGACUCCGGAACGGGGCCACCAUAAGUCACCUCCUCUACAUGGAUGA
RNAcentral lists this long non-coding RNA (1095 nucleotides) under Betta splendens (Siamese fighting fish). Its description in RNAcentral is "lncRNA (ENSBSLG00000014658.1)". The record is from RNAcentral. Lineage: Eukaryota; Metazoa; Chordata; Actinopteri; Anabantiformes; Osphronemidae.